RNAcentral lists this ribosomal RNA (1099 nucleotides) under Emericellopsis maritima. RNAcentral's name for it is "eukaryotic LSU rRNA". It matches the Rfam family "Eukaryotic large subunit ribosomal RNA", at positions 34 to 1166 of the family's 3401-position model. Lineage: Eukaryota; Fungi; Ascomycota; Sordariomycetes; Hypocreales; Bionectriaceae. The record is from RNAcentral.
UUAAGCAUAUCAAUAAGCGGAGGAAAAGAAACCAACAGGGAUUGCCCUAGUAACGGCGAGUGAAGCGGCAACAGCUCAAAUUUGAAAUCUGGCACUUGUGCCCGAGUUGUAAUUUGUAGAGGAUGCUUUUGGCGACGCGCCUUCCGAGUUCCCUGGAACGGGACGCCAUAGAGGGUGAGAGCCCCGUCCGGUCGUGCGCCUAGCCUCUGUAAAGCUCCUUCGACGAGUCGAGUAGUUUGGGAAUGCUGCUCUAAAUGGGAGGUAUACGUCUUCUAAAGCUAAAUACCGGCCAGAGACCGAUAGCGCACAAGUAGAGUGAUCGAAAGAUGAAAAGCACUUUGAAAAGAGGGUUAAAUAGUACGUGAAAUUGCUGAAAGGGAAGCGCUUAUGACCAGACUUGGGCGCGGCGGAUCAUCCGGCGUUCUCGCCGGUGCACUCCACCGCCCCAGGCCAGCAUCAGUUCGCGCCGGGGGACAAAGGCUUCGGGAAUGUGGCUCCCUCGGGAGUGUUAUAGCCCGUUGCGUAAUACCCUGGUGCGGACUGAGGUCCGCGCUCUGCAAGGAUGCUGGCGUAAUGGUCAUCAGUGACCCGUCUUGAAACACGGACCAAGGAGUCGUCUUCGUAUGCGAGUGUUCGGGUGUCAAACCCCUACGCGGAAUGAAAGUGAACGUAGGAGAGAGCUUCGGCGCAUCUCCGACCGAUCCUGAUGUUCUCGGAUGGAUUUGAGUAAGAGCAUACGGGGCCGGACCCGAAAGAAGGUGAACUAUGCCUGUGUAGGGUGAAGCCAGAGGAAACUCUGGUGGAGGCUCGCAGCGGUUCUGACGUGCAAAUCGAUCGUCAAACAUGGGCAUGGGGGCGAAAGACUAAUCGAACCUUCUAGUAGCUGGUUUCCGCCGAAGUUUCCCUCAGGAUAGCAGUGUUGAACUCAGUUUUAUGAGGUAAAGCGAAUGAUUAGGGACCCGGGGGCGCUAUAUUGCCUUCAUCCAUUCUCAAACUUUAAAUAUGUAAGAAGCUCUUGUUGCUUAGUUGAACGUGAGCAUUCGAAUGUAUCAACACUAGUGGGCCAUUUUUGGUAAGCAGAACUGGCGAUGCGGGAUGA